This 66-nucleotide transfer RNA is filed under the name Bombus sibiricus. RNAcentral describes it as "tRNA-Leu". The record is from RNAcentral. Lineage: Eukaryota; Metazoa; Arthropoda; Insecta; Hymenoptera; Apidae.
AUUAAUAUGGCAGAUUAGUGUAUUGAAUUUAAAAUUCAAUUAAAAAGUUUUUUACUUUUAUUAAUA